UACGUAGGAAGCAAGCGUUAUCCGAAUUUACUGGGCGUAAAGUGGGCGUAGGCGGCCUUUCAAGUUGGAUGUGAAAUCUCCUGGCUUAACUGGGAGGGGUCAUCCAAUACUGCUAGGCUUGAGGACAGCAGGAGAAAGUGGAAUUCCCGGUGUAGUGGUGAAAUGCGUAGAUAUCGGGAGGAACACCAGUGGCGAAGGCGGCUUUCUAGGCUGUUUCUGACGCUGAGGCCCUAAAGUGUGGGGAGCGAACAGGAUUAGAUACCCUGGUAGUCCACACCAUAAACGAUGAAUACUUGGUAUAGGGAGUUUCGACCCUCUCUGUGCCGAAGCUAACGCUUUAAGUAUUCCGCCUGGGAACUACGGCCGCAAGGCUAAA
This 376-nucleotide ribosomal RNA is filed under the name uncultured bacterium. RNAcentral describes it as "bacterial SSU rRNA". It matches the Rfam family "Bacterial small subunit ribosomal RNA", at positions 524 to 898 of the family's 1533-position model. The record is from RNAcentral.